AGAGUUUGAUCCUGGCUCAGGAUGAACGCUAGCGGCAGGCCUAACACAUGCAAGUCGAACGGUAACAGAUCUAGCUUGCUAGAUGCUGACGAGUGGCGCACGGGUGCGUAACGCGUAUACAAUCUGCCUUUAACUGAGGGAUAGCCCAGAGAAAUUUGGAUUAACACCUCAUAAUAUUGUGAUUUGGCAUCUUAUUACAAUUAAAACUUCGGUGGUUAAAGAUGAGUAUGCGUCCUAUUAGCUAGUUGGUAAGGUAACGGCUUACCAAGGCUACGAUAGGUAGGGGGCCUGAAAGGGUGAUCCCCCACACUGGUACUGAGACACGGACCAGACUCCUACGGGAGGCAGCAGUGAGGAAUAUUGCGCAAUGGAGGAAACUCUGACGCAGCCAUGCCGCGUGCAGGAUGACGGCCCUAUGGGUUGUAAACUGCUUUUAUAUAGGAAGAAACCCCGAUACGUGUAUCGGCUUGACGGUACUAUAUGAAUAAGGACCGGCUAACUCCGUGCCAGCAGCCGCGGUAAUACGGAGGGUCCAAGCGUUAUCCGGAUUUAUUAGGUUUAAAGGGUCCGCAGGCGGGAUUUUAAGUCAGUGGUGAAAGCCUACAGCUCAACUGUAGAACUGCCAUUGAUACUGAUUUCCUUGAGUGUGGUUGAAGUGGGCGGAAUAUGUCAUGUAGCGGUGAAAUGCAUAGAUAUGACAUAGAACACCAAUUGCGAAGGCAGCUCACUAAGCCAUUACUGACGCUGAGGGACGAAAGCAUGGGGAGCGAACAGGAUUAGAUACCCUGGUAGUCCACGCCCUAAACGAUGUCUACUAGUUGUUGGUGGAGUAAAAUCCAUGAGUAACGCAGCUAACGCGUGAAGUAGACCGCCUGGGGAGUACGGUCGCAAGAUUAAAACUCAAAGGAAUUGACGGGGGCCCGCACAAGCGGUGGAUUAUGUGGAUUAAUUCGAUGCAACGCGAAAAACCUUACCUGGCCUUGACAUGUACCGAAUUUAGCAGAGAUGCUUUAGUGCUCGAAAGAGAACGGUAACACAGGUGCUGCAUGGCUGUCGUCAGCUCGUGUCGUGAGAUGUUGGGUUAAGUCCCGCAACGAGCGCAACCCCUGCCAUUAAUUGCCAUCAUUUAGUUGGGCACUUUAAUGGGACUGCCGGUGACAAACCGGAGGAAGGUGGGGAUGACGUCAAGUCCUCAUGGCCCUUAUGGCCAGGGCUUCACACGUAAUACAAUGGUCGGUACAGAGGGACGCCAACCCGCGAGGGGGAGCUAAUCUCAGAAAGCCGAUCGUAGUCCGGAUUGUUGUCUGCAACUCGACAGCAUGAAGUCGGAAUCGCUAGUAAUCGCGGAUCAGAAUGUCGCGGUGAAUACGUUCCCGGGCCUUGUACACACCGCCCGUCACACCAUGGGAGUGGGUUUUACCAGAAGUAGUUAGUCUAACCGCAAGGAGGGCGAUUACCACGGUAGGAUUCACGACUGGGGUGAAGUCGUAACAAGGUAACC
RNAcentral lists this ribosomal RNA (1501 nucleotides) under uncultured bacterium. RNAcentral's name for it is "partial 16S ribosomal RNA". It matches the Rfam family "Bacterial small subunit ribosomal RNA". The record is from RNAcentral.